GACAGAGGAGGCAAGCGUUAUCCGGAAUUAUUGGGCGUAAAGCGUUCGUAGGUGGUCUAACAAGUCUGGGGUCAAAGCCCGGAGCCCAACUCCGGAUCGGCCUUGGAAACUGUCAGACUGGAGUAAGGUAGGGGUUGCGGGAAUUCCCGGUGUAGCGGUGAAAUGCGUAGAUAUCGGGAAGAACACCAGCGGCGAAAGCGCGCAACUAGGCCAUUACUGACACUGAGGGACGAAAGCUAGGGGAGCGAAUGGG
Molecule: ribosomal RNA, 253 nt
Filed under: uncultured bacterium
Lineage: Bacteria
Description: partial 16S ribosomal RNA
Rfam family: Bacterial small subunit ribosomal RNA
Source: RNAcentral